Molecule: non-coding RNA, 72 nt
Organism: Phrynosoma platyrhinos (Desert horned lizard)
Lineage: Eukaryota; Metazoa; Chordata; Lepidosauria; Squamata; Phrynosomatidae
Source: the annotation of a GenBank genome assembly
GCCAGUGUGGUAUAGUGGUUUGAGUGUUGGACUAUAACUCUGAAGACCAGGGUUCAAAUCCCCAAUCAGUCA